RNAcentral lists this transfer RNA (69 nucleotides) under marine eukaryotic metagenome. It matches the Rfam family "tRNA". Rfam says of the family: Transfer RNA (tRNA) molecules are approximately 80 nucleotides in length. Their secondary structure includes four short double-helical elements and three loops (D, anti-codon, and T loops). Further hydrogen bonds mediate the characteristic L-shaped molecular structure. tRNAs have two regions of fundamental functional importance: the anti-codon, which is responsible for specific mRNA codon recognition, and the 3' end, to which the tRNAs corresponding amino acid is attached (by aminoacyl-tRNA synthetases). tRNAs cope with the degeneracy of the genetic code in two manners: having more than one tRNA (with a specific anti-codon) for a particular amino acid; and 'wobble' base-pairing, i.e. permitting non-standard base-pairing at the 3rd anti-codon position. The record is from RNAcentral.
GGGAAUAGCUCAGCUGGUAGAGCGCAACCUUGCCAAGGUUGAGGUCGCGAGUUCGAAUCUCGUUUUCCG